UGGCGAUGGGCGUGGCCGCGGCGCCGGGGCUCCCAUAUCGAGGCUGCCUCCCCCUCUCAGCCGGCCGCACAUUCCGCCGCCGUUGCCGCCGCCCGGCCCCGCAGUUGUUUUCACCGGAGCUGCUGUCGUUCUGGGGUUAGGGAGGGGGGGCGGGCGGGGAGAGCAGGAGAAGGCCGCGGCGGAGGCAAGUGAGAGGAGGAAGGAAGCGGCCGCCCGGAGGGCAUAGCAGCUCAGGCGGCGGCCGGGUUCCUGGGAGUGUCGGUGCGGCGCGGUGGUUGGGGCGGAUCCCGCGGGGCCCGGGCGGGGGAAGGAGUCACCGGCCCGGCCAUGGCGGACAACGAGAAAUUAGACAACCAACGGCUCAAGAAUUUCAAGAACAAAGGCCGUGACUUGGAGGUAAAUUCCGGGGCGCCGGCGGGUGGGG
Molecule: long non-coding RNA, 424 nt
Filed under: Marmota monax (woodchuck)
Lineage: Eukaryota; Metazoa; Chordata; Mammalia; Rodentia; Sciuridae
Source: RNAcentral